This 484-nucleotide ribosomal RNA is filed under the name uncultured bacterium. RNAcentral's name for it is "partial 16S ribosomal RNA". It matches the Rfam family "Bacterial small subunit ribosomal RNA", at positions 30 to 507 of the family's 1533-position model. The record is from RNAcentral.
AUUGAACGCUGGCGGCAUGCCUUACACAUGCAAGUCGAACGGCAGCACGGGAGCAAUCUUGGUGGCGAGUGGCGAACGGGCGAGUAAUACAUCGGAACGUGCCCAUUCGCGGGGGAUAACGCAGCGAAAGCUGUGCUCAUACCGCAUACGAUCUACCGAUGAAAGCAGGGGACCGCAAGGCCUUGCGCGCUUGGAGCGGCCGAUGGCAGAUUAGGUAGUUGGUGGGGUAAAGGCUCACCAAGCCAACGAUCUGUAGCUGGUCUGAGAGGACGACCAGCCACACUGGGACUGAGACACGGCCCAGACUCCUACGGGAGGCAGCAGUGGGGAAUUUUGGACAAUGGGCGCAAGCCUGAUCCAGCCAUGCCGCGUGCAGGAUGAAGGCCUUCGGGUUGUAAACUGCUUUUGUACGGAAAGAAACGGACUUUUCUAAUAAAGAGGGCUAAUGACGGUACCGUAAGAAUAAGCACCGGCUAACUACGUG